Molecule: long non-coding RNA, 1674 nt
Filed under: Salmo salar (Atlantic salmon)
Lineage: Eukaryota; Metazoa; Chordata; Actinopteri; Salmoniformes; Salmonidae
Description: lncRNA (ENSSSAG00000083860.1)
Source: RNAcentral
CUGUUUCCUGGGCUCAGUGGCGUUGCAAUUCAUGGUGAUUCACAGCUGUUCAUGUUCUUUUCUUCAUAGUUGCAUGUCCUAUUAUCAAUUUGUCUAAUCCAACAUGAGAUAGCAAGCUAGCUAAUGAGCUUGUAGGAGCUAGCUUCAGCCAGACACUUUGCUUACUACUAUGUAACAUACAGCACAUAAAGUCACGGCUGAUAGCUGACCGGAGUGGACUUUAUAAAACAACACACACUUAUAAUUAUAAGGUAGAAGAACAGCUCAUCUUGAAUGAGGACUAGGAGAACGCAGGCAGCUUAAAAGGACCUGAUCUAACCUGGCACAAACCAUUCAUAUCUUCAAACAGGACCCAUAAAUCUUGGGCGCUGAGCCUCGCGGAGCAUCCUUCAGUCUCCCGGUGAACGACCCAGAGGAAGCCUGGACACGUGUUAACAAUCGGUGACAGCCCAGGUUGGCUGAGGAAUGCAGUACUGAAUGAACUGGGAAGGAUGCGAGGAUCUACAUGUAGGAGAUGCUCCCUAGACCCCAUACUUCACCUAGCCUUAACCAGAGGUGAAUCCUGCCUACUGAGCACCCAAACAGGACACGGCAAGCCCAUUACCUGCCUGUCCUCCCCUGUCUCCUCAUCCGAUUGGUCUGGAAGAUCCACAGUACACUGCAGUCUGGUUCUCCUCAGAGUGGCAGUCCUUCCCUUUAUUAUGUGGACAUGGGUUCAAAGGGGCUGUGUGUAUCAGUGGAUGGAGAAGCGAUCUUAACCUCGCCCUGCAGCAGACAGUUAUGACACCCAGCAGGAGAGAGAGGGAAACAGGGACAGAGACGGAGAGGGCUGAGGACUGACUGAUGAGAGGAAGAGAGAAUCAACAUCACCUCUAUAUCCAGUCCUACUGGGUGAAGCUCUAUGAAGAUGCUGUCUGAGUGUGGCAGCAGUGUGUGGAGCUCCCUGUUGAUAUGGAGCUGGCGCUGUGAGCUGACAGUGGGGGAGAGAUGCCAGCGCCGGCGAUUAGCAUUAGCUUCCAGGGGGUGCCGCAAUGGCUGCUGGGAGAUUCCAUCAGAGGCACAAACCUGUCGCUUCGCCGUAAUGUGACAGCCCCCUGUGGCACAGCACAGCACAGUAAGAAGAGUGAAGAGUGAGCCUCAGCAUCUGCCGGCUGGAGAAGGAGGAGCGGUGGAGGUUUUCCUAGGGUUAAGAUGCUUCUGGUCGGCCUGAUAUGACGUUCACGUCUGGAUGCUCUGACCACUGCCUCUCACUGCCAGUCAGCCUUCCAGUCCUGUGGUCAUCCAGACCUUCAAACUCCUCUUCCUCAUCCUCUUUCUCCUUCCAGUCUGUCAACUCUGUGAAGAGUAGAGUUCAGUCAAGCCUUGUCUUAAACCAACUCUGUUGGCCCUUUUGUUUAACACUGGCUAGCCAGUGGCUAUACCAACUCUGUGGCACUGUGUGGUAAUACAGCUGCAGCUGGUCAGUUUGGAUCAGAUUACUCCCUGGACUGUGGGAGAUCAACACAACAGACAGGGAUUAACCAGUAGGAGGCUCUCUCUUCUAUGGACAACCCAAUGCUAUAACAGUGAGGUCAAGAGAGGAUUUCUACCAAUAUGUGAUUACUGGCUGUCCUGUUUCCAUAUGAGAGUUGAGCAAACAUGCACAGAAUAUAAGUAUACGAAUAAAUAGCAUGA